GCUAGUCGCGUGGCUCAGCCAAUACGAGUCACGGCAUACAGCUCAGUAACACGUGGCUAACCUGCCCUAGGGACGAGAACACCCCCGGGAAACUGGGGCUAAUUCUCGAUAGGCGAAGAACUCUGGAAUGAGUCUUCACCCAAAAGGUACUGCGUUACGCUCGUAGUAUCGCCCAAGGAUGGGGCCGCGACCGAUCAGGUUGUUGGUGAGGUAAUGGCUCACCAAGCCUUUUACCGGUGCGGGCCGUGAGAGCGGGAGCCCGGAGAUGGGCACUGAGACAAGGGCCCAGGCCCUACGGGGCGCAGCAGUCGCGAAAACUUUGCAAUAAGCGAAAGCUUGACAGGGCUAUCCCGAGUGCCAUCCGCUGAGGAAGGCUUUUACCCAGUCUAGAACGCUGGGGGAAUAAGGAGAGGGCAAGUCUGGUGUCAGCCGCCGCGGUAAUACCAGCUCUUCGAGUGGUGUGGAUGUUUAUUGGGCCUAAAGCAUCCGUAGCUGGCUAGGUUAGUCCCCUGUUAAAUCCACCGAAUUAAUCGUUGGAUUGCGGGGGAUACUGCUUGGCUAGGGGACGAGAGAGGCAGACGGUAUUUUCGGGGUAGGGGUGAAAUCCUAUAAUCCCGGGAAGACCACCAGUGGCGAAGGCUGUCUGCUAGAACGCGCCCGACGGUGAGGGAUGAAAGCUGGGGGAGCGAACCGGAUUAGAUACCCGGGUAGUCCCAGCUGUAAACGAUGCAGGCUAGGUGUUUGGACGGCCACGUGCCGUUCUAGUGCCGCAGGGAAGCUGUUAAGCCUGCCGCCUGGGGAGUACGAUCGCAAGAUUGAAACUUAAAGGAAUUGGCGGGGGAGCACCACAAGGGGUGAAGCUUGCGGUUUAAUUGGAUUCAACGCCGGA
This 889-nucleotide ribosomal RNA is filed under the name uncultured archaeon. RNAcentral's name for it is "bacterial SSU rRNA". It matches the Rfam family "Archaeal small subunit ribosomal RNA", at positions 53 to 922 of the family's 1478-position model. The record is from RNAcentral.